This 483-nucleotide ribosomal RNA is filed under the name uncultured bacterium. RNAcentral describes it as "partial 16S ribosomal RNA". It matches the Rfam family "Bacterial small subunit ribosomal RNA", at positions 30 to 507 of the family's 1533-position model. The record is from RNAcentral.
AUUGAACGCUGGCGGCAGGCCUAACACAUGCAAGUCGAGCGGAUGAAGGGAGCUUGCUCCUGGAUUCAGCGGCGGACGGGUGAGUAAUGCCUAGGAAUCUGCCUGGUAGUGGGGAUAACGUCCGGAAACGGGCGCUAAUACCGCAUACGUCCUGAGGGAGAAAGUGGGGGAUCUUCGGACCUCACGCUAUCAGAUGAGCCUAGGUCGGAUUAGCUAGUUGGUGGGGUAAAGGCCUACCAAGGCGACGAUCCGUAACUGGUCUGAGAGGAUGAUCAGUCACACUGGAACUGAGACACGGUCCAGACUCCUACGGGAGGCAGCAGUGGGGAGUAUUGGACAAUGGGCGAAAGCCUGAUCCAGCCAUGCCGCGUGUGUGAAGAAGGUCUUCGGAUUGUAAAGCACUUUAAGUUGGGAGGAAGGGCAGUAAGUUAAUACCUUGCUGUUUUGACGUUACCAACAGAAUAAGCACCGGCUAACUUCGUG